GCCGGUCGGCCAUUCCUAUUAAACACGUUCUGGCUGUAGCACUUAAAGGGACAAACAACGGCGAGUAUAAAAUAAACAAACAGAAGUAAUUUACUAAAAAUGUACCUAUUAAACCAAAGAAACGAUUAAAUCAGCUGUUAAUGGACAUGAACGUAACAAAAUAUAAUGCUGCCACAAACAAACCGGAAACUGCGAUAAAACAGAUCAAUCUGUGGGUUUGUUCCAACAGACCGACUAUCCUGCUUGUGGUCGGCAGCAUUAAAGCGGACGCUGAGCACAAACAGCCGACUACAGACUCAGUUUAGCAUGAUGUUCCUGAAUCAGACGUCUUAAAGACGGAGCAGCACAUGUGUCUGAAGCAGCAGGAAACGUCCUGACGUCUAAGAGCAGGAGGUUCAGCUGGCUGACGUGUCAAUGAUUGGUGGAGAGAGAAUCUCUCCGGACCAGAGGGGGACAAACUUUUUACCUCGAGGGACAAAACCGUCAAGUUUACAGAUACAUGUCACUUUUUUUCAGUUUUCCACCAGAUUCCAACAUUUUGUAGGAAAAUUACCCAGAACUCCAAUGAUUUCCUGGACGAUCAACAUUCCCGCAGCAUCACGGAUCCUCUGCCGUGCUUAUCAGUGAUGAUGAGGUGCUUUUCUGUUUUACUCCGAACUCACACAGCGUCCAUCAGAGAACGGCUCAGUCUGACCUAAACACAGGUGCUGUAAAUGAGAUGGGAGGACAGAACAUGAUCUUUUAUUUUAUAGAGGCUGUAGUGAUGCAUCCCACAAUGCAUUGCACCACCAGCAGCAGGAGAAGGAGAAGAUGCAGGAAGUUGUUUUUGAAAUUAUUUAAUUUGGGCAAAAUAAUUUAUUUUAGGAUGUUUAGGAUGAGAAAGUAAAUGCUUCGUUGGAUCUUUAAUUAAAUUGGACUUUACAGC
Molecule: long non-coding RNA, 925 nt
Organism: Gambusia affinis (western mosquitofish)
Lineage: Eukaryota; Metazoa; Chordata; Actinopteri; Cyprinodontiformes; Poeciliidae
Exons: 4
Source: RefSeq, a predicted model, not a curated record